This 497-nucleotide ribosomal RNA is filed under the name uncultured bacterium. Its description in RNAcentral is "partial 16S ribosomal RNA". It matches the Rfam family "Bacterial small subunit ribosomal RNA", at positions 28 to 507 of the family's 1533-position model. The record is from RNAcentral.
GAUGAACGCUGGCGGCGUGCCUAAUACAUGCAAGUCGAGCGAACAGACGAGGAGCUUGCUCCUCUGACGUUAGCGGCGGACGGGUGAGUAACACGUGGAUAACCUACCUAUAAGACUGGGAUAACUUCGGGAAACCGGCGCUAAUACCGGAUAAUAUAUUUAACCGCAUGGUUCAAUAGUGAAAGACGGUUUUGCUGUCACUUAUAGAUUGAUCCGCGCCGCAUUAGCUAGUUGGUAAGGUAACGGCUUACCAAGGCAACGAUGCGUAGCCGACCUGAGAGGGUGAUCGGCCACACUGGAACUGAGACACGGUCCAGACUCCUACGGGAGGCAGCAGUAGGGAAUCUUCCGCAAUGGGCGAAAGCUUGACGGAGCAACGCCGCGUGAGUGAUGAAGGUCUUCGGAUCGUAAAACUCUGUUAUUAGGGAAGAACAAAUGUGUAAGUAACUAUGCACGUCUUGACGGUACCUAAUCAGAAAGCCACGGCUAACUACGUG